This 65-nucleotide ribosomal RNA is filed under the name fungal endophyte. Its description in RNAcentral is "partial 28S ribosomal RNA". The record is from RNAcentral. Lineage: Eukaryota; Fungi.
CCAAGUUUGACCUCGGAUCAGGUAGGGAUACCCGCUGAACUUAAGCAUAUCAAUUUAAGCGGAGG